UAAUCAACAGAAAAACCUGGGUGUUUCCCGCAGGAAGGACGUUGAUUGGCUGCUGCCAGGUCUCCACUAGGGGUAAUAUAACUCCGGCUGGUGUUUGAGGUGUGCCAUACUCUGCACACUGCCCGGGCUCUCACUCGCUCAGCACACCGUGCCACUUCCGCCUCCGCUUGAAGGAGAGAAAACGAAGGAUGAACAAGAUGCUGGUUCCUGUUUUCACAGCCCUGCUGUACUUCGCAACGGCGGGCGCCCUCCUGUGCCACGUGUGUGUCAGACAGCAGCCGAACAAGACGUGUAUUGCAGGGAAAAGCAUGUGCAAGGCGGCUCCGGGGGAAUCCUGCUACCUCCAGACACUCCUCCUGGGGAACUUCCCUCUCUAUGCACAGCAGGGCUGCUUCAGAGAUUGCCAGGACCAAGUCGGAGGCACGUUCAUCCGUCACGACUUCCGCUGCUGCACCGAAGACUUCUGCAAUGCCUAGGGGCCAUGGACGCCGCCUCCCUUCCCACUCACUUGGGGGCAGCUGCACUUCUGGAGGAAGUCCACGUUCUCCCCUCCCCCGUCCCUCCUGGUUUCUCUCCUGGUUUCCC
RNAcentral lists this long non-coding RNA (585 nucleotides) under Chrysemys picta bellii (western painted turtle). RNAcentral describes it as "lncRNA (ENSCPBG00000011156.1)". The record is from RNAcentral. Lineage: Eukaryota; Metazoa; Chordata; Testudines; Emydidae.